RNAcentral lists this unclassified non-coding RNA (282 nucleotides) under Hevea brasiliensis (rubber tree). The record is from RNAcentral. Lineage: Eukaryota; Viridiplantae; Streptophyta; Magnoliopsida; Malpighiales; Euphorbiaceae.
UUUUUUUCCUUUUUCGUUACGUUGACCGUAUGAUGGAAUCCAGCAGCAGGAGCAGCCAGUGGUUUUUUUGGAAUUUCUGAAGGAAAUAAAUCCGUCGUUAAGCUGGUAGUGACAUGGGAAGUCAUGUUGACAAUAGACGCGCUCAUUGAAAUUUUGCUCCUUGGAUUCAUGGCCAAUUACUUAGAAAUUUAGAUCAAUAAGACCUUAUCAUGAUAAUCGAUUUCUUGUGUAAGUAGUCGUUCACUCGGUAAUAAUGUAGAAUCAGUAAGUAGUCGUUCACUC